GGGAGAAGCGACAUUCGAACUCGGAGCCGGCCAGAGGGAGGGCCCCAACCCGCCCUUCACUUCUUUAUGUCGUAGUUUCUCUCUCCAUGGGUUCCCCAUUCAUAAAAAAGGGAUUGCGGACCAUUGUCUCAGCCAAAGGGUGUGUUUUAGGGAGACUGAAGAGAACCGAGAACGGACGGGAUUCUAUGAGGCUGAGGGAGGUUUGGAAGAGGCCCCCAAAGGCCAUCCAGCCCAACCCUCGCCUUGCGCGACCCAAGCGCCCCCGACAGAUGGCCCCCAGCCUCUGUUUAACCCAAAUGCCCAAACCCUCCGAGGAAGAGGAGCAGCCGCGGGUCCCUUCGCAGAGUCAGUCCCCAGUGGGUUCAGUGCAGCCCCUUCCUCCUCGGUAAGUAAGUGUCCACAGGGCUGCAGCCUAUGAGAGGAGGCGAGGGAAGCCAGUGGAGGGGAGACUGGCAGCCUUUUCUUACCCCCUCAGUGACUUCUAAGCAAAGAUGGGAAGAAUAAGGCGAGCAAAGACCACCUUGCUCUGGGAGACAGCCAUGUCUUGGUGCUGAAUCAAUGCUGCUCUUCUUCAGGAGAAACCGAGGGGCUGCGCCAGCCCUAACCAAAAUCCCAAAGCCCUUAGCUUUUAAAUACUUAAAAACCUGCUCUUUCCCCAGGAGUUUCGCAGCCUCUGUGAUCCCAGCUUUUGCCAAAGGCUUCAGCUGACAGCAGAAAUGUGGCACAUGAUGUAGACGGAAGGCUCUGAUCCAGACUGUGGACUCCAGUAUGAUGAAAGGCAUGUGAGAUUCAUCAUCAUCAUCAUCAUCAGCAGCAGCAGCAGCAGCAGCACACAGCCCAGCACUUAGGUACUAGAUUACACUGGUGCUCAGCACAUGCCUGUGGGAGCUAAUGGACAAGGAAAUGGGGCUGUGCUGUAUCCUGUGGACAUAAUCUGCACAUAUAAUGCAUCCAGGUUGUAUCAGGUCCUUUGAAUUUAUACAGUAUUAUGUGUUGUUCAGUUUAGCGUUUUUGUCAUAUAUUGUUUUAAUCACCAUGCACUUGAUUAUCCCAGUUUGACAAAAGCUCCCAUAAUUGAUCUAGUUUGUUCUUGAUCCAAACUGGCUUGGAACUGGCUCAUAUUAAAAUUCAUUUCUAUAGGCUUUGUGUUUCCAUUGAUAAUCAUGCUUACAGCAGAAGUGAUAGUGAUAUAAGGACAAAGAAGACAAAUGAACUUUGGUUGUUUUCUCAGCCCAAUGCCUAAUCAUCAGGAAUUUCUCCCACAAAGUACCCCGAGAGUCAUAGUUUGUGACAUCUUUUGGACUCCUGCUAAAGAAAUUAUUCUACAUCCUAAAUUCACUUUGGAAAUAACUGUCCUAUGUAUCCUUUGGAAGUAAGCUUCAUUAAACUCAAUAUGGCUUGCUUUAGAGCAGGCAGAUCUACAAUGCACUUUACAUAUGUACCUAUGGGUAUGGACUCACUACUGCUGACAUGUCAUAUGCAGUGGCAGUACAGGUUGAGCAUCCCUAAUCCCAAAAUACAAAACCCAAAAAAUGCCUUUGAGGUGGCAGUUGUGUUUUUUUGCUUGUUUCUCUUUCAGAUCCUCACUCUCUCUCCAGCCACAUGACUCUUACACAAUACAAGUAGUAAACAAAUGAAACACAAGGCUGGGGUGAGAUGCAAAGAUGGAGAGAGAUGUAAGGAUCUGUGAAACAGCAGGAGGCAUAGAUUCAUGCUGAACAGUACACUGGGAUUCCUGCCAUGUUACAGAUCCUCAGUGUCUCUCUCCAGCCUUACGUCUCUACAUCCUACCAUCUUUUGCAUCUCUCUCUCUCCAGCCUUUCAAAUACAGUAUGUGCUAUAAUUCUUGUGUUGUGUAUAUCCAAAAUACAAAACGCUUCUGGUCCCAAGCAUUUUGGAUAAGGGGUACUCAAACUGUAUUUUAAAAGUGAUAGCAUACUCUAGCAAUAUUUACUGCAUGAGUAAAGCAUUAAGAUGCAGUCUUUUGCCCAUGCGCAGAGACAUGAUAAAUAUAAUUGCAUUAUCCACUGACAGGUCCCUCUCCCCAUUAAAAAAUAGGAUUGUACAAAAUAAAUUGGUGAAAGAGAAACUGUUCUUCAGUAGUUGUGUAAUCCCAUCAGAUUACAGUGUUUGCUGUCAUAAAAGAUGAUGGGUAAUCCAUAAAGGAUGAAUUAUGCAUCCAUAAAAAAUUGAUUAAUUUUGUUCAAUUGAUAGCAGAUUAAUAAGAUGCUGCACUGACAUUUUAAAAUCAAAUAUCUACCAAGAGCAAUGGGAAAUAUUGAUGAGCAGAAAACCUUAUAACACUGCUAUAGUUGUGUCCAUUAAAGUCCAUGCCAAGUCUGCCCCCACCCAGAACCUUAGGAUAUAGCUACACAUGUAAAAAGAACUGGAGUCAGGCCAAAGGAUCAUUAUCUCUAGUAAUAAAAUCAGAUAGUCUGUAAGUAAAGUAUACACAGCAGCCACCUGUCCAGUUCCUUUAUAAUUUUUCGAGAAGGCAAUUCUACAGUUUACUUGCACAGCUUGUUUCAUUGCUAACUAAACUGUACAUUCCUUCAAUCUGAAAUGUUAGCUGUUUCGUAAUAUAACAAUGUUGCAAGAUAAAGAUUUCCUGGAAGAUCCCAGAGUGCAUAUCCAUGGUAGUGCCUUUUUAAACACAUAAACACAAACCGUGGGUUGAUUACUUAUGCCAGCUUUCAUUUUAUCUCCCGGAUUAAAUUCUAUAGACUUGUUCUGUUUGGUUUCAUGUAUCUAAUUAUUCUAAUUUGAUAGCAGCAUUAUGGAUAUGUUGUUGAAUUUCAUAGGCUGGCACAUACAUGAACUUGUGUUAAUUGUUACACUAUCAUGUAACUAAGCUUGAGAAGCUGACUUCAGAAACUUCUGAAAUAACAUUGUUAUCAAAAUGC
Sceloporus undulatus (fence lizard) is the source of this 2903-nucleotide long non-coding RNA. RefSeq lists it as uncharacterized. NCBI's taxonomy places the organism in Eukaryota, Metazoa, Chordata, Lepidosauria, Squamata, Phrynosomatidae. The transcript is spliced from 2 exons. The record is from RefSeq and is a predicted model, not a curated record.